This is a ribosomal RNA of Dermatophagoides pteronyssinus (European house dust mite), 149 nucleotides long. Lineage: Eukaryota; Metazoa; Arthropoda; Arachnida; Sarcoptiformes; Pyroglyphidae. The record is from RefSeq and is a predicted model, not a curated record.
AACUUAUAACGAUGGAUGACUAGGCUCUUAGAAUGAUGAAGGACGCAGCAAAGUGCGAUAAGUAUUAUGACUUGCAAUCUUCAUGAUUAAUUAGUAUCCGAACGCAGAUGUACUUAUAAUUAUUUAUAAGUAUUAUUGACUCCGUGUGU